GACGAACGCUGGCGGCGUGCUUAACACAUGCAAGUCGAACGGAAAGGCCCUGCUUGCAGGGUACUCGAGUGGCGAACGGGUGAGUAACACGUGGGUGAACUGCCCUGCACUUCGGGAUAAGCCUGGGAAACUGGGUCUAAUACCGGAUAGGAGCCAUUUUUAGUGUGAUGGUUGGAAAGUUUUUUCGGUGUAGGAUGAGCUGGCGGCCUAUCAGCUUGUUGGUGGGGUAAUGGCCUACCAAGGCGGCGACGGGUAGCCGGCCUGAGAGGGUGGACGGCCACAUUGGGACUGAGGUACGGCCCAAGCUCCUACGGGAGGCAGCAGUGGGGAAUAUUGCACAAUGGGCGCAAGCCUGAUGCAGCGACGCCGCGUGGGGGAUGACGGCCUUCGGGUUGUAGACUCCUUUCGCUAGGAACGAAGCUUUUUGUGACGGUACCUAGACAAGAAGCACCGGCUAACUACGUG
Molecule: ribosomal RNA, 465 nt
Filed under: uncultured bacterium
Lineage: Bacteria
Description: partial 16S ribosomal RNA
Rfam family: Bacterial small subunit ribosomal RNA
Source: RNAcentral